AAGGAUUUAAGUUAAAUAAACUAAUAGCCUUCAAAGCUGUAAAUAGAGAGUGCACCCCCUUUUUAAGCCUUA
Molecule: transfer RNA, 72 nt
Filed under: Agrilus adelphinus
Lineage: Eukaryota; Metazoa; Arthropoda; Insecta; Coleoptera; Buprestidae
Description: tRNA-Trp
Source: RNAcentral